CUCGAAGGACGAACGGCUGGCGGCGUGCUUAACACAUGCAAGUCGAGCGAUCGAAGUUUCUCUUUAGGGAAACGGNUUAGCGGCGGACGGGUGAGUAACGCGUGGAUAACCUGCCAUACACUGGGGGAUAACAGCUGGAAACAGCUGCUAAUACCGCAUAAAACUGUAGAGUCGCAUGACUUUAUAGCCAAAGCUCCGGCGGUGUAUGAUGGAUCCGCGUCUGAUUAGCCAGUUGGCGGGGUAACGGCCCACCAAAGCGACGAUCAGUAGCCGACCUGAGAGGGUGACCGGCCACAUUGGGACUGAGACACGGCCCAAACUCCUACGGGAGGCAGCAGUGGGGAAUAUUGCACAAUGGGGGAAACCCUGAUGCAGCGACGCCGCGUGAGCGAAGAAGUAUUUCGGUAUGUAAAGCUCUAUCAGCAGGGAAGAAGAAAUGACGGUACCUGACUAAGAAGCCCCGGCUAACUACGUG
This 475-nucleotide ribosomal RNA is filed under the name uncultured bacterium. RNAcentral's name for it is "bacterial SSU rRNA". It matches the Rfam family "Bacterial small subunit ribosomal RNA", at positions 26 to 507 of the family's 1533-position model. The record is from RNAcentral.